This 392-nucleotide unclassified non-coding RNA is filed under the name soil metagenome. RNAcentral describes it as "partial contains 5.8S ribosomal RNA, internal transcribed spacer 2, and large subunit ribosomal RNA". The stretch from base 1 to 122 matches the Rfam family "5.8S ribosomal RNA", at positions 35 to 154 of the family's 154-position model. The record is from RNAcentral.
GAUGAAGAACGUAGUGAAAUGCGAUACUUGGUGUGAAUUGCAGAAUCCCGUGAACCAUCGAGUCUUUGAACGCAAGUUGCGCCCGAAGCCAUUAGGCCGAGGGCACGCCUGCCUGGGCGUCACACGUCGUUGCCCCCCCCAUCUACUCCUUCGGGAUUGCGGGGGGCGGAUGAUGGCCUCCCGUGCGCCUCGCCGCGCGGUUGGCAUAAAUGCCAAGUCCUCGGCGACGCACGCCACGACAAUCGGUGGUUGCGAAACCUCGGUUGCCCGUCGUGUGCGGUCGUCGCGCAUCGAGUGCUCGAAAAAAUUGCCGGGCUCCGGCUCGGCUUUCAACGCGACCCCAGGUCAGGCGGGGUUACCCGCUGAAUUUAAGCAUAUCAAUAAGCGGAGGA